This 4408-nucleotide long non-coding RNA is filed under the name Salmo salar (Atlantic salmon). Its description in RNAcentral is "lncRNA (ENSSSAG00000096858.1)". Lineage: Eukaryota; Metazoa; Chordata; Actinopteri; Salmoniformes; Salmonidae. The record is from RNAcentral.
UAAGUAUGAAUAUUUAUUAUAAAUUAUCACAUUUACAAGCACAACCAUGUUCUGAAUAAAUACUUGAGAGCAGGGCUAUGGGGUCAGGUCACAUCUUUCAUGAAUUCAAACCAGACUGACUUCAAGGAAAGAUUACCUGCAGACAUCGUCAACUAGUUAAGUUCUUUCCUCAUGGCUCCCAAACUCCUACCACUUUGAACAUCCCCUAUGACACUACCCACAUCCCCCUCUCAGCGUCACUUGGGAAUGGUGGGAGGGGGAAGGCCUUGGGGUCCCUUCCGUCACCUUGGGGUGACCCCCAACCCUCUGGGUGUUGGUUGAUCCUUGUCCAGUGCACCGCCAUCUUGGCCUGACACUGCGGUGUUGGAUGUUGACUGCACACUGGGUCUGGAGCUUCCCCAUGGUUGGAUUCCACUGAAAGAGGCACUUCCUAGGAUAUCAGCAAAUGGGAUAGCCUUGAACCUCAUGGUUUGGGGCUUAGCUGGUUGGGAGGUGGUGUCGAUCGAAGGCGAAAUACUAUUUUGGCUCUUCACGUGCGUCACCUUGACACGUUUGCCCUUUACAACGAUGCUGGUGGGUGUACGAUGCUCUGCAAGUUCAGUGGGGCUUAGUUCUGGUUGAACUUGGACUCUGGGAGGGCUUGGGUGGACACUGGGGGCAGAGGUGGGCUGGAUUUCAGCAGGGGCAGAUACAUGGCUGCCUGAGGGCCUAGUUUCACCUGGGAGCUUUAUGCCCAGAACACCUUCAUUCUGUUUGGACCUGGAACCUUUGGGCCUUCUGUAAAUUACUGACUCAAACUUGUUGAAUCUAACUUCAGGCAUGAAAGGGGCAGAGCUUGUUGGACCAGGUUUAGCUUCUCCUGCAGUCAAACGGUCAUGGAAAACAUUGUUGCCGGGCAGACUAAAGGUUGGCUGAACAUGUUUUAGACUCUCACUCCGGGGAGAUUGUAGUACGGUUGGUUGGGAUCCCUUGAAAACAUGGCCGAUUUUAGCCUUGUUAUCCUCGCUAGGUGUAUAUCUACGAAACCAAGGCAUACCGGCUCUCGUGGUAGAGCCAGGCAUGUCAGUGGUAGUAGUCUGCACUUCUGAAGACUGGACAUUGCUGGAGGCAUGGAGGCUGUUAGAAACUAGGGCAUCUUCUAUGGACAUAAGUUGGACUUCUCGUGGACCUGAUUUGAAUGUCCUUGGGGCUAGAGUAUCGCUUGGGGCAGAGGAAGUUGUAGUGGAAGCUACUCGAAUUCUAGGGGCAAAGCUAUACUUUCUGUAUACAUCUGGAUACCCACUGACAGAACUCAUUCUCAUGCCCCUAGGUAUACCAUAACUAUGUAUCCAGCUAGUACCCUGACUCUUUGCAGUGUUUGUGUUGAUUGAAGGUCUGAUAGCAACAGAGGGUAUGUCAUUGUCACUCACGAUGGGAGCCAAUGUUUUCUUGGGAUCUUGAUAUUGGAACCCUCUGAGUGUAUUGACAUUCAUGGAUCUUCCAGGUUUGUAGUCACCUGUGGCUAACCCAUACUGAUAACUGGAUGAGCUUCUUAGCCCAGGUUUCUUCCAAGGGACAUAGCUACUCUUGGUUUUCAAAGAGGGGUCAGGGGCAGUUUCUCUCUCUGCAGGCUCAGAGGGACUUUGGGUGGGUUGAGUUGCAGUGGGGGCUAUUAUGUUCCAGAAAGAGCCAAAUCUAAAAGGAGGUUGAAUUCUGCUGAAAGCACUUUUAGCCUGAGUAUUAGCCAUUUCACCAGGGAAAUAGCUACUAGGGCUCUCUCUACUUUGAGAAAAGUUAACACUGUGAUGGAAGGGUUUGUUGAUACUAGAAGCACGUUGGGCUUCACUGGUAGCAUCUACUUUAGAAGAACCGGAUUGGCUCAGAGUUGGUGGGUGCACUUGUUGUCCAUUGGCAGACUUAAAAGCUGUAGGGUACAACUGAGAGCCUAUGUAGCCAUACCCCCUUUGGACAUGUGUGGAUCUUCCAGAUCCAUGAACACUGGAGUUUCCUUCACUUUGGUUAGCAGAGGCAGCACCAAGUCUGCUAAUGGUCUUCACUCCUUCACUAGGGCCCUUGUGAGUGGUUUCAGAGGUGCUGGAAGUGGGUUGGGAUUCCCUGAAGAGAGAAUGAAACGUUCUGUAUUUGGAUUGCUCAUUCUUGCUCACAGGGUUUUCAGCCAGUUUGGCUGGGAUGGGGUUGCGUUCAACAACAGGAGAGCCAAAUAUGUCCCUGGCAGGUUGCAAACUACUGGUGGUAACAUGGCUCCUUUGGAUCAUAGGGUUUGAGACUGAAUGAUAGGUAACAGAGGCACCCCAGGUUCUGGGGACAAUUGGGCUACCUAGGCCACUAGAAGGGUAGGUACGGAAAUGGACAGUCUUACUGGGCACUGAGCUGCUUGAAGAUCUGUUAGAUUGACUGUUGGGAGGCUGAGACUCCUCACCAUCAGGGGAACCUUCUCUCCCAGUUUGGACUCCCGGUCUCAGCCUAAAGACCAUCUGAGCCUGGUCAGAUUGGACACUACUGGGGACCGGUUGGCUUGGGCUGAGACUAUGGCUCUGGCUAAAUAUGUAAGGGUUGUAGAAAGUCCUCCAUUUUCUUGGGCCCUGUGUACCGAGAGAACUUCUCUGUUCGUGUACUGCUCUCCUGCCUACAGGGAAAUAAGAGUGCAAUUCAGUAUUAUUCAUACAUUUCAUGUCUAAAUACACUGAACAAAAAUAUAAGAUGCAACAUGUAAAGUGUUGUCCCCAUGUCCUGAAAUAACAGAUCCCAGAAACGUCAAACACAGCUUAUUUCUCAAAUUUGUUCACAUUCCUGUAAAUUAGCAUUUCUCCUUUGCCAAGAUAAUCCAUCCACCAGACAGGUGGGCAUAUCAAGAAGCUGAUUAAACAGCAUGAUCAUUAUACAGGUGCACCUUGUGCUGGGGACAAUAAGACAUCUGUGGCAUUGUGUUGGUGUGACAAAACUGCACAUUUUAGAGUGGCCUUGUGUUUUUAGGGAGCGUGCAAUUGGCAUACUGACUGCAUGUUACCAGAGGAAGGAAUGUUAAUUUCUCUACCAUAAGCCACCGCCGUUUUAGAGAAUUUGACAGUACGUCCAACCGGCAUAACAACCGCAGACCACGUGUAACCAUGCCAGCCUAGGCCUCCACAUCCGGCUUCGUCACCUGCGGGGGUCGUCGGAGACCAGCCACACGGACAGCUGAUGAAACUGGGUUUGCACAAAAAAUUAAAAAUAAAGAAUCUCAGGGAAGCGCAUCUGCAUGCUCGUCGUCACCGGCGUCUGGGCCUGACUGAAGUCAGUUACGAUGCCGAACUGCAGUGGCAAAAUGCUCACCGUCGAUGGCCACUGGAGAAGUGUGCUCUUCACGGAUGGAUGCCGGUUUCAACUGUGCCGGGCAGAAGGCGUGUAUGGUGUUGUGUGGGCGAGCAGUUUGUCAAUGUGAACAGAGUGCCCCAUAGUGGCAGUUGGGUUAUGUAUGGGCAGACAUACGCUACGGACACAAUUGCAUUUUAAAAAUCAGUGGCAAUUUGAAUGCACAGAGAUACCAUGAGAUCCUGAGGCCCAUUGUCGUACCAUUGAUCUGCCGCCAUCACCAUGUUUCAGCAUGAUAAUGCACAGCCCCAUGUCGCAAGGAUCUGUACACAAAGUGUCCCAGUUCUUCCAUGGCCUGCAUACUCAGACAUGUCACCCAUUGAGCAUGUUUGGGAUGCUCUGGUUCGACAUGUACAACAGCAUGUUCCAGUUACUGACAAUAUCCAGCAUUAUCACACAGCCAUUGUGGAAUGUUGUCCCCCUCCUCUUCAAUCAGCCUGAUAAAUUCUAUGCGAAGGAGCUGUUGUGCUGCAUGAGGCAAAUGGUGCUCACACCAGAUAUUGACUGGUUUUCUGAGCCAUGCCCCUAACCUUUUAAAAAAGGUAUGUAUUCCCAGUCAUGUGAAAUCCAUAGACUAGGGCCUAGUGAAUUUUACAUAUUUCCUUAUAUGAACUGUAACUCAGUAAAAUAGUUGGAGCGUGAACUAAAACCUCACAUCAAUUGCGUCGCUGAAUUAAAUGGACAUGUUGGUAGUGCUCAGAGUUUUCUAGUCAGAUUAUUUGGACAGAGAAAAAAACAUGCUGAGCCCUAAAUAUCAAAUGUUAAGUCGUCUUGUCCUUACAUUACAUUUAGUAUGUAUGGUUACUAAUAAAGUAACACGGCAGCUAUGGAAGUUCACUGAGUAUGUUGUUCUCAAACAGUCUAAAUCAUAUCUUCAAGGAAAACAAUUUCACGUCACAAGAUAUGAGGUCAAGCACACAGGUUAUGUAAGGAUAGAUUCUGAGCAAUACCCCUGGGCAGCUGGAUAUUGUUAACCAUUAACCCAACUCACAUAUGACAAACAACUUCAUGGACAUCGGUAUGACCCGAAAAGAACAUUCACUUUCUGUGCAAUAAG